RNAcentral lists this long non-coding RNA (36813 nucleotides) under Citrus maxima (pomelo). RNAcentral's name for it is "long non-coding RNA (CMAX_LNC003447)". Lineage: Eukaryota; Viridiplantae; Streptophyta; Magnoliopsida; Sapindales; Rutaceae. The record is from RNAcentral.
UAAGAAAUCCAAAGAGUAUUUCUGACAAUACAAAUAUGCUAGCUUUAAGUCUGCUGUCAAUAUGCAAUUAAGAAGAUUAUACCAGCUGCAUGAUAAAGUUCCCCUAAUCUUAAUAACAGUAAACAUGAACAUGUCAGAUGCAAUUAUAGCUUUGAGCAUUUGCAUAACCAGAAAUCCUAACCUGAACAAGCACCAGAAGUGUCUCUCGGACUUUCUCCUUGCUGAUAAAUGGUCCGCUGUCUGAAGUAAGAGCAGGAGUAAGAGAUGGUGGAGGGGUUGGUGGUGGAAAAGGUUGAAGCACUGGGGCACCAUAUGGGCGUUGCAGACUCGGGGGAGGAUUAAGUGGCGGAGCUGUUGGUGUAGAUGAAGAGACAAGCUGCAUCAUCCGUGCAUAGGAGGAUGGAGGAGGAACAAAGAAUAAGGAAGGCUUUACAAGAUUAGGGGUAGGUGCUGAUAGAGGUGGAGAUGGUAUUUGCAAAGUUGGCACGAUAGGAGAAGCAACACUGGCGGGAUGAGAAGGUAAAGAAAUAGUUGUAUUGGACUGGUAAGGUUGUGCAGAGAUUGCUGCAUUAGAAGUAUUCCCCACAGUCAAAGCUGUCUGCAAUGAUAAGGACAGAUGUCAUAUAAAAGGACAUCAUAGAAGUUGAACCUCACACAAAAAUGAAGUGAUAACAUAUGAAAAUAGUAUAUGACUUGCUGCAUUUUUGUGGUAAUGUUGCAUACUUAUGUAGAAACAUAUUAUUUCAAAGAAAACAUACACUGAAGAAGUUCACAAAAGCAGGAUCUUCAGGAACAUCAACAGCAUUUGAGGGAGUUGACUCUAGAGGACCAUCCAUAACUGCCAUAGUUGGAACAGCUUCCAGUUCCUCAAACUCACUGCAGUUUAACAUAAAAGGAACUUGAUGACCAAUUUAAGUAAUAAUUAGAUGAUAUAAGAGGUUAGGGAAAAUGAUGAGUGGACCCUUAUGGAAGAUGAUUUCACCUUAGCUAAACACGAAAAUAAAAUGAAAUCAAAGCUGAAUCCUCGAGUGCAAUGCAAAUAAUUUUUUCUCUCUCUUCUCUAACUCCUCUUAUUCGAAAUUGCUCAUCAUUGUGCAGUUCCUCGAGAUUUUGCUAGAGUAGAGAAAGCUAUUCUCCCGUUAAGUGCAGAGGAAAAAGAAGGGCAAGGGCCUGGUAUGAUGCUAUUCUAUAGGAAGUGAGAAGGUGAAGGGCUAAAAUAUUUUGCAAUUUGGAGGUGGUGUUUGUUAGUGUGUGUACUUCUGAAUUUAUUACCUCUUUAGGAUCCAUAGAAAUUGCCUCUUGUUCAGCAUGCACUGUGCCUACGAGUAAGGCGAGCUUGCAUGGUAUCUAUUGUCUAUUUACUUGGAUAUUCAAACAGGACUACCAGCAACCAAACACAAAUCCCCAAACAAAACACUCUUUCAAGUGCAAGGAAAGAGUAACUUGGGCAUAUUUAUGGUUCAAGCACUACCAUAACUAAGAAUGUGAUGCUGUCCACAAACACUAUAUCAGUGCCUUUUGAACUACAUCACAUGCUCGAAGACUUUUUUUUAGUCAUACAUAAAUUAGCUAUAAAAUUAAGACCAUUAUACAACUAAAAAGAAAGAAAAAUUGUUUGCCACUACAUAUCAAAACUGGUAAUAGCAAUGUAAGAUGGCAGACUUCUUACUUAAACAGAUGAGAGGCUACAAAUAAAAAAUUUGUGCAAAUAAAAUAUAUGAUAAAGAGCAUAAUACCUUCUUGGGGGCUAAAAAUAAUAUACAACUUGUGAAAUAUAAAUUGAGCUACCAUUACCUUUUAGAUGUGGCAACUUUCGACUUUUGAGGCACCUUGGAAUAUGCAUUCAGAAUCCUGCAUUUGGAAACCAAAUAAACAACGUUAAUAACAAUUUUACAAUAGAAAAAUUAAAAAUUGAUAAAUGGCAGUUGUAAUUUAUGUAUGCGUAAAGAUAGCUUCACAUCCAGGGUCCUCCCAUAAACAUGCUUGUAACAAGAAUUAGUUUGCCUCAACUGCUAGCAACUAUACAAUAGUAAAAAUCACUCUUAUGAACUCAACAAUACUAGGCACCAAUAAGAGUAUGAUACAGCCAUUCUAAAUGGAAGAGAAUACAACUGUUUUACAACUAUGUUGCAUCAGGAGAUAUGUUAGGAGGAUUAAUCCAGAUACCUUCCAACCCAAUUAGGAAAACUCAAGGUCAGAAACCAGGAGCUGCAACCAAACCUUACAAUCUUGAAGGAAGAAGGAGACUUGGGGCAUUUUUCCAGAUAGGUGACUUACAAGAUCUCCUGCCAAGAAAAUAUCUACUGCUUCGAACCUCCAUUGAAAUUUCUUUUCCGUUUUUCUUGUUUUGACUUGGAACUUUCCAGCAUCAUCUAUUUGAUCUUUUUUAAAGCUAAAAUAGCAAUCUAUGGGUUGUCAACAUCUUAACCCCCCCCCCCCCCCCCGGGGGGCCCCCAAAAAAAAAACCAAUGAGUUGUCAAUAAAUAGCGCCUACUCAACUUAUGUUCUCCAAUGGAUGACAAUGUGCAAAUCGACCUAGCAGCCACAUUUUUCCCCCCUUUAAACCACCAUUAGGCAACUUUUCUAACCUUUCUUCAUUGCCCACGUCUACAGAACUAUCAUAUAAAGACUACAUUAUUAUUGGGAUAGAGAAAAAAAUACAGACUAUAUUAUUAUUAUAUCUCAUUUUAUUAAUUAACUAGUGCAAGACUUAUUUAGUGUCAAAUCAAGAACUAAUUAGAAAAGACAACUCAUGAUAAUACAGACCUUAAAAAGCAAUAGCUAGGACCACCCCAUGUACUCCUAUUUUAGCCUUCAAUAUCCUGGUAAAAACACAAUUAAGUCUUGCAAAAGAACAUUCACAAGUAAAUUCAACAUUAAUUAAGAUUAAGUAUCUACUGCACCUUCAAUCAAUGACUGGGUGAAUAGCAUGGUCAACCAUCCAGUUCCUGUAGCCCUCCUUGUACCUAUGUUAGUUACAUUUUACAUAUUAAGACACGAAAAUGAAGGAUCACAGCCUGGUAAAGAAAGCCAUUAAUUAAUAGUUUUUGUUUAAAAAGUUCUCGUUUAGAUCUUUCCUAUUCAAUGAAUCAAUGUAAUCCAAGGAGAACUCUUCCAUUUCAAGCAGUGUUAGAAGAUAAUUGGAAAGCCUAAAGAUAAUAUACAAGGACCAAGAUAUCAAUUAGGUCAAAUAGUGAAUGUCAAAUAUAAAAAAUAAAUAAAAGAAGUUGUACAUGAUCAUUUACUAUCAAGUUCUGUAAAACUGAAAAUACCAUUAUCCCUGUAGAGAUUCUCAAACAACUCUUUAGCAAAUUAUAAAAUAAUUAAAAAAAGAACGAAAGUUUAAAAAAAAAAAAUGUACAACAGCCAUAUCAGGAGAUGUUUUUCUUCUCAAUCUCAAUAUUUUCUAGCCGUAAAACAAUUGAAAAGCUUAACACCAAGUGAAUUAUUAAGAAUUCAUCAUUUAAAUUCCCAAAUCGCGAAAUGUUGGUGCAACUAGGAAAGUGCAAAUGCAAUCACUUUACUAACACAAGAAACAUCAAUAGUGAGAAGCCAACUUUGUAUCAAAUUUGAAACAGAUAGAUAGAGGUCAAAAAAAAUUAUAAAGACACUCAAUUAAAAGCCUUUCAAACAGCUUUUGCAUGCAACAAGAACAAAUCAAAGGCGAUGUGAAUGUAUUGAAAGACUAAUUUACAAUCAUCUACAGGACAUAAAUAUCUUGGAUAACUACUCUCUAUACCCUACUGUCCCACUGAAAAUCAUCAAAUCCCUCCAAACAAAAAUGACAAAAUGGAUAAGAAUUGUGUGGUCAAACUUCAAUAACUUAGCAGCCAGAGCAAAAACUUAUGUAGACACGCAAGCCACUCAAAAUAGUCAUAUUGUUUGCUUUCCAAACACAAGCCACUUUGUAAUGAAUAUUCAUAAAUUGCUACAACCAUGUUUGUUAAAACACGUGAAAACUACCAUCACUAACUAAAUGUAACUAAUGAUCAUCAUCACGUUCAUGGAAUCACAUGUCUGACAGUAUUAAUUAGUGCAAAUGGCAUGCUUCUUAAAACUCCUUAUUUAUCACAUGGGCGCCAUUCCAAUCAACCAAUGAUUCUGAUCUAGUCAGCAUAUUCAACCUACGAGCCAGUAAUACCUCCAUUGCUUCUUUAGAUUUCUCAACAAAAUUCCACAUUCUAACCAUACUUCUGAACUUGUUGCUCCCAUAGACUAAUACAAUAUAAAGAUUUCUUCCCACACCACCUCAGCCCCCACUCCUAAAAAACCAAUUUAAAUUCUCAUUGACUGUACAACCUAUAGUCCAUACCAAAUUGAAAAACUUACAAAUAUAGAACCUCAAAGAAUCUUCUUGCGUUCCAUUUUUUACAGCAAGAAAAUUGACUUUUACCACAUGCAAGUCAACAAAUAAAACAAUCAUGUCUUUGUGAGAUGCACAUUUUCAGACGAAUCUGAAGAACAAUGAAACCAUAAAAACCUAAUAUGAGAACACUGAGGACUCCAGAUAUCAUCUAUAGAAUCUUUGGUCCACCCUUGCAUAAUGAAAAAAAAUUGAAGGCUUCGUCACCAACUCCCCAGGUUGUUUUGUUCUCCUAUCUCCUAAAUCUAAAGGAAAGGCAACCCGUUCAUUUUCCAAUCUUAAGGGGCACAGAACGACUCUGGUAUAAAAUAGUCAGUUUCUAUACAAAAAUAACUCCUUUGCACUUGGCAUUCCACAUCUCGAAAUAAAAAGCAUGCAAGGAGGAGAAUAUAAUAGCAUUAAACAAGUUUUAUUAACCAAACUUCAAAGAUGCCAGACAAGGCAAAAAAGGAAUCUGUACAAGCCAGAUCCCAAGAAUAAUAAUUCCAAUAUACAAUUCACGAAAACAAUAACUAAAACCAUGUUCAUCAGGCCUCAGCAGAAGCAACAUGUAAUAGCCAUACUCUAUUAUUUGAAACACAUUUCCAAGUUUGGAAAAGAUUCUAAACUAUUCUCGAUCUGUCAAUUAUUAACAUGUAAAACAUAAUAAUAUACGCUUAAACUACUACAGUAGUAAAACCAGUAAAACAACAAUACCUGCUAAAAAGAUUUGCUACCUCUUCACAUUCGCGAGCAUUGUAGAACCAAAUCCCAUUUACUUCUUGGGAUGCAUUUCGAUAUAACAAAUACGGAACCUGAACUUCAAACUCAAAAUCUCCCAAAAGAUUUUUCACUAAAUUAUCUGCACAUAUCCAAGAUAUUGAAGCUUCUCAGUGCAAAAACAUAUGCAAAAAGACAUGAAGGUUAGGAGACAUAACUAAAACUUAGCAACAACUGAUAAGCACAACAAGAAAUGAAAUAUAACACGAGUUGUAAACAAGAUAGACGCACGGUAUCUAAAUAAUUGUACCAACCCCCUCUCCUGAUUGUCAUAAAACGGCCAAUAUUUAACGCUAGACAACAACAUGGCAAAUACUCUAGCCUCUAUAUUAUUGGCAUAUAAAUAUUUUCGGUUGGGUACAUUAUAUUCUUCGUUCUAAAACCUCAAUCAUUAGCUAGUACUGUGAUAAAAUGAUUCAUCACUGAAAUUAAAACUAGUUCACGUACAAAUAAUCAAAACUGAAAUAGAAACAAGGACAAACCAACCCGUAUUACGUCGAUUCAUUACAACAAACUGAAAUCGAGGCUGUGUGUUCCUGAAAAUUGAAAAAAUAAUAAUUUCACCAACUUCAUAUGUAAUACAAUCUCCAAAACAACGAAUAUCAAAUGAAAAAAUGGAAAGCAUAAGAGAGAAAAGAAUCUAAUUUUAUUGACCUUUUGACGACGAAGAGAGAUCCUUCAACAUCCUUACGACUCCAUUGGCCGUGAUUAGGAUCUCCUCAAUGAACGGAUCGAUUCGCUGAAGAACCGUCAGGUUUAGGAGUUUUGUGCUCUGCUGGUCCAGUUUAGGCAUCAAUUUUCCGUUCUGCGACAUUUUUUAUAGUCGUUUUGGGCUCUGCCCCGACCACUAGCCCUCAGGUUUUUCUGUGAGCUCUCUUUUGUAAAUAAAGUGUUUGAUGAGAUAGCCGAGAGAGAGUGAAAGAGUUGAACAGCCAAACAAGGUGAGGUGAACAGUUUCGGACUGAGACUCGAGAUUGGUCAAGCUUUAACUUCUUUCAAACAUUUGGGAAAUAGCAUUUAUUUCUUUCAAUUUCUCUAGGGAAAUUUACCAAAUUAGCCAUUAAAAUUUUGUAUUUUUCACUUUUAACCCCACUAACUUAUUUAUAUCAAUAUUAGCCAAACAACAAACUUUUGGACCAUAAUACCCUUACAAUCUCACCCAAAGCUCACCAAAGCUUGAACUCACCCACACUUCUCACCAAACGGAAGCACCAUAGAGAGCCAAAUCGGAGACCAUCAUCGGCGGCAAUCUCACCGGAAUCCCGUUCAACAACACUAAUUCCACCAAAAUCACGUAUAAUAGCAAUCAAAAUCUCCAAGAUAAUAGUUGAAGUUCAAAAACCCUAGGUUAGCAAUUUCAAACACAUGCUUUAUAUUGUUCUUGUGUUGUGUUGUGAUUGUGUGUUGUUGUGACGGUGUUUGUGGUGUUUGGUGGUGGUUGGUAGUGGUUGGUGGUCUAUUGUCGGACUAUGUUGGAGGCAAUACGUUGCAAUGGCUGUUGACCAAUUCGUGAAAAUUCGAAAUUUUUGUGCGACAGGUUUCCGUCGCACAAAAUUUUGUGCGACUGCCUUUCUGUCGCACAAAAAAUCUGAUUACACAAUCUGAAAUUUUGUGCGACAGGUUCCCGUCGCACUAAAUUUUGUGCAACUGUCUUUCUGUCGACCUUCGCAAGAAAAAUGUGUGGAUUUAUGACUCGUUGGUGGCAAUUCGUGAUGAUAAAACGUACAAGGAUAAGUUCAAGCCACUUGAAGUCGUCUUUCCUCGAUGGUUAGAAGAUGUCGGAUUUUACAACGUCCGACAUGACUUACGGAAUGCCGAACCUUGGAAUGUCAAAAUAUGUAAGGGUGUGCCGCAACAAGAGCAUGGUAGUGGCGACUGCGGCGUUUUUAUGUUGAUGAUCACGAUGUAUUUAAUGUUUGGGCUAAGACUUAAUUUUACUUGUGGCCACGGGCAAUACUUUAGGAAGAAAAUUGCCGUAGACAUAUUUAAUGGUAAUAUCGGCCUUUAGGAUAUUGUAGCGCCGAUAUAUAAUGAUGAAAUUGGAUUUUAGACGAUUGUAUUUAUAAUUAUUAUUGGUGUCUAACUUUUUUUUUCAUAUAAUUCAAAUAAUAAAUUUGCAAUAUAAUAAAAAUUAAAUAGGUUGUUAUAUAUAAUGGUGCAAUAAAUAAAAAUCCGUUCUCAAAAUACAUAACAAUUUAAAAUGAUACAAUUAGCUUCGUGUCGACGCAAUGGGAUUUUUGCACUUUUUUCGGUUAUGACCCACUUCAUUGCACCGGCCACAUCUUAUAGUUCUCCUGUCAACAUCCUCACCAACAGAGGGUAUUUUGAGCUCUAGACGACGGGCGGACGAUGGUGCUUCUAUUGGUGGGUUAACUUUCAUUGCUUGAAUUUCCUCAGCAUCUGUUGCACAAAAUUUGGUGCGACGGGAACCUGUCGCACAAAAUUUCAGAUUGUGUAAUCAGAUUUUUUGUGCGACAGAAAGGCAGUCGCACAUAAUUUGGUGCGACGGGAACCUGUCGCACAAAAUUUCAGAUUGUGUAAUAUGAAUUUUUGUGCGACAGGUUUCCGUCGCACAAAAUUUUGUGCGACGGGAACCUGUCACACAAAAAUUUUGAAUUUUCACGAAUUGGUCAACAGCCAUUGCAACGUAUUGCCUCCAACACAGUCCGACAAUAGACCACCAACCACCACCAAACACCACAAACACCAUCACAACAACACACAAUCACAACACAACACAAGAACAAUAUAAAGCAUGUGUUUGAAAUUGCUAACCUAGGGUUUUUGAACUUCAACUAUUAUCUUGGAGAUUUUGAUUGCUAUUAUACGUGAUUUUGGUGGAAUUAGUGUUGCUGAACGGGAUUCCGGUGAGAUUGCCGCCAAUGAUGGUCUCCGAUUUGGCUCUCUAUGGUGCUUCCGUUUGGUGAGAAGUGUGGGUGAGUUCAAGCUUUGGUGAGCUUUGGGUGAGAUUGUAAGGGUAUUAUGGUCCAAAAGUUUGUUGUUUGGCUAAUAUUGAUAGAAAUAAGUUAGUGGGGUUAAAAGUGAAAAAUACAAAUUUUUAAUGGCUAAUUUGGUAAAUUUCCCAUUUCUCUACUGUUUUUUUUUCCUUUAUGUCAUUUAGACCCCAAAAUUAGAUUUAUUAUAAUCAUAUUUUACCCAUUCACUAUUAACCCCUUUUAUUUUUUAUAUUGUCAAUAUUAAUGUAUUAGAAUAAUGUUAGAAAUCUCAAUUAUUAUCUCAAUGUUUCAAUCAUAACUAAUGUGAUAACUCAUCGGUAACUGCAACAUUAACUUAAUUAUUAAUGUUUAUCAUGAAAUGAUGAGAUUAUUAUUCAAGAAAAACUUAGUAAACAUUAAUGACUAAUAUAAUGUGAUAAUUACAGCUGAAUAUUAGUACAAUAAUUAGGAUCCCUAAAGUUAGUGAAUGUAUUAUAAUAUAUGUGUGUUACACCACUUUAUGUCUCUCAAAUUCAAUUAAGUAAUUUUAUAAACCUGACCUUUUAUUACAUUAAUUAAGAAUACAUACAUGAACUAAAGAUGUGCAGUUUUUGUUCUAUUUUUCACUAUUAUUUACCAUUCAUCUAAGUACGUCACUUGAUUUUUUGCGAUUAAUAUGCUUAAAUGGAUCUCUUUGAUAUAAAUAAAAUAAACGAAAAGUCUAAGAGAAAAAAAAAAGGAGGACCGAAAUUAUUACACCUACAACAAAUUUGCCCAGAGAGCAAUAAAUCAAACUUGCUUAGGAAGUUCAACAAUGAUUAGUUAAUAACUAAAAGAGCCUUCACCUAACAUGUUAAAGCUUCUGUCAAGCGAACACCCAUUGAAAGCUGUUUAGGUCCGUUUUAGAUCAUCGGAAAUUUGACAAAAUCAUAAAAACCCUCAUCUUAGAAAUUCCAAGCAUCAGGCAAUAGUCCUACUUUAUUGAUAUUGAGAUUGAGAGUUACACAAUAAAAGUUUCGUACAAAUUUUGCAAACGAAAAGCACAUAAUACACUUAACUAGGAGGAAAAAUUAAAGUGUAUAUAAUACGAACUGCUAACAAUAUACAAUAGUAAAAAUCACUCUUAUGAACUCACAAAUACUAGGCACCAAUAAGAGUAUGAUACAGCCAUUCUAAAUGAAAGUGAAUACAACUGUUUUAUAACUAUGUCACAUCAGGAGAUAUGUUAGCAGGAUUAAUCCAGAUACCUUUGAACCCAAUUAACGAACUCGAGUCAGAAACCAGGGGCCCCUAACUGAACCUUACAAUCUUGAAGGAAGAAGGAGACUUGUGGUCCAGAUAGGUGACUUACUAGAUCUCCUGCCAAAAGAGAAUAUCUAUUGUUUUGAACCUCCAUUGAAAUUUCUUUUUCCCUUUUCCUUGUUGUGACUCUUCCAUUGAAAUUUAAUGGAUCAAUGUAAUCCAAAGAGAACUCUUCCAUUUCAAACAGUGUUAGAAGAUAUUUGCAAAGCCUAAAAAUAAUAUACAAGGACCAAGAUAUACACAGAUGGUUUCUUUAUGGGACUAACGAGCUUUUUUAGAUGUUAAAACUGUUUCAAACUGUUUUUCUUGUUUGGUUUAACUAAGGAAGAGCUUGUGGAAGAUUAAAAAUGAUGUUUCCUAUUCUCUGUAGGAAGCUUUUAGGAGAUAUUUUGGGCUUUUUUAAAAGGUUGAAUUGUCAAAAAUACCUUGAUGUUAUUGUUUGCUAAAAGAUGUUAUGGACAACUAAACAACCAACAACAUUUUGUUAAAAGCUCUAUUAGUGUAAGAUCUACUUAAAGAAGCUAUACCAAACAGACUCUAAGACUGAAUAACUCGAUCUUAAGUUUGUAAAAUUGGCCGAUCAUACCGACAAAGUGAGUGCGCAACAUGAGGUGCUUGACGGGAUGUUUACUUUCGAUGAUACAACUAAAGCUAGCCUCAACAUAUAUCAGGUGCCUGCUUGUUUUUACCUUCUAGAUACUAAUGUUGUUUAGACGUGUAAUCUCUCUCUCCAUUGAACGCUAGACGGCUCGUCUCAAGCCUUCUACGUACUUCAGAGUCCUUCAUUAGCUUUUUAUGUAUAAAGUUUUGAUCUUUUUCCUUCAUUUGCUUGAAGCUCAUUACUGCAGAUUUGUUUUACAGGUUGCUAGUGUAACAUUCGACUUGCUGUUGCUUCUAGUCUUGGGAUCGUAUUUAAUUGUGCUUUUCAGCUUUCUUGUCAUAACAACUUGGGUAUCACUCUUUCUCCAUAUCAAGCUUGAAGUUCUAAAUUUCAGUUUUAUCUUGUAUUUGAUGUUUUAUAAUUUCAUUGCAAACAGAUUAGAAUAGAAACUUCAAAAGUUCCAACUGACUAGUCCCGUGUAACUUUUUCAGGGAAUAUUUUCUCUCAUAACAACUACGAACGUGUUAUGGUUUAGCUCAGUGACACAAAAGGACAGUUUUCAACAAUGGAUCCUAGGAAGAUGCCCAUAGCUUGUUUAGAUGCGAAAAGAUUUUGUUGAGAUUCAUUUUUCAUCCUGAUGUUACAGCUGGCCUUUUUUUUCUUUUUUGGCAGAGAAUAAUGCUUAUGUGAUUUCUGAACUUGGUGAUUGUUGAAAUGAGCUGAAAAUGAGCUGGAAAUGUGUUUGGUUAAUGAGAAAGAGAGCAAGAAAAUGAAAGAAAUCUAUUUCACUUUUUAUUUAUCAGCAUGAUUACAUUCACAAUGAAUCUAAGCUGCUAUUUAUACUUAAAUGACUACACACGAGAAUCUUCUUGCUAGAUACUUCUAGAAACUCUACACGCACACUCACACUGAGCUAGUGGUUACCAAAACCGUUACAACGAUAUUGCCAGCUCAGCAUAACCAACUUAUAACUAACACACUCAGCUGCAGGGGAAACCAUCAAGCUUACUGUGCGUCCUCUGUAAUCAAGCUUCUUUAAGCAUGCUCUGCAGAUCAUACGUCUGAAUUAUCGAAACAAGAUGAAUUAUUUUUUGUUUAUUGCAGCAGGCGAUCAAUGAGCGGAAUUUCUAGCUUGUAUUCAAUUCGCGAACACAGUUUGAGAAGAAUCAGACCAUUAAUUUUCUUUUGAGCCAAUCAACAGAAUGUACAUUUCUUCUAAGAACUUGUAACCGAAACCGCAGUUUUUCAGGUUUGAUGCAUCUGGGAAAUUUGUCAGAUGGAAGAAAACCACCAUGCGCCAAGGUACCAAUGAUGUUUCUUCCAGCUUAUGAGCACUUCAAAUAAACUUAGGUCAUAUUUACACAAGGGCGCACAUGAUAUCAAUCUAAUGGCAAUUAUAUCAUCUAAAAUCCAAAACCAAGAGUCUCCCAUUUUCCCGCCCUCUACUCUGUUCGUAUUAUCAUAACUUGAAGAUUGCAAGGCAGCCGCAAUCUCCCAGAUCUUUGCUCCUUCCUCAUAGCAGUUAGUCAAACGAUAAACAGAGAUAUCCCAUGUCAACAAGAAGGUAAUCAUAAAAGAACAACAGAAUUGUUGCAAUAUAUUCAUAUGAAAUGUAAAACAAUUUUGAGAAAAAAUAUUGGGAAGAUGAUUUUUUUUUUCAUAGAAGUUGCAAUCUUUACGUUAUAUGCUAGUUUGACUAUGCUAUAUAAGGAAGCUAUAUGAAAUUAGAAAAAUAAGCUAUACUAGGAAAGAAUAAAUAUAUGUACAGAAAAUGAGGCUAUAAUCCCUGACUUUCAACAAAUUUAAUAUCAAUUUUCUUCUGGAAGUUGUCUCAAAUGGGGCGCAUCAGUAUUGUAACAUACUGUGAGAUGCUUAAACUCAACAAUAUAAGCAUGGUAAAUUAGAGAAAAAUGAUGCAAUUUUACCUUCCCAUUCAUGUAUGCCAAGGCUUUUUGGGCUUCCUCUUCUGUACUGAAAGUCACAUACCCGUAACCUUUUGAUCUAUUCUUACCUUUAUCCAUUAUUAUUGUAGCUGCAAAAAGAAAAGAACCGGAUAUUACAAAAUAGUGAAAGGGAAGAGGGGUUGAGACUUAAAACAGAAAUAGACCAAACCCUCAGUGACUUGGCCAAAUUGUGAAAAAGCAUCAGCUAACAUCUCUUUAGUGGUCGAGAAAGAUACGCCUGCAAAGAAUGCCAGUUAAUUUUAUCAUAAUUAGAUGGUAAGAUUGCAAAUUCUGCAGCCAAAGGUGGUACGGAACUGAAUGAAGGAAAUCAAAUAUGAACAUGUUUUCAAUCUUAAAAUAUUAAGAGUAGCAUAAGUAACUUGUGAAACAGUUAUAAGUUCAAGGGAAUUAGAUGAUGGCAUGGUUGAAUUUAUAAAUAUUUGAUAUUUUGGACCGAACAGGGCAAACAGAUGGAUCCAGAUAAUCAAGAAAAACAUCAAUUCCAUGCAACCAAAUGAGUGUGGGCAAUGCAAUUGACCAACACUAUAAAAUUAUUCAAAGAAAUCUCUAGGUCAGUAUCCAAAUAUAUGGCUCCGUCCGUUCCACCACCACAACCAAAAAAAUCAGAUCCCCCCAUUUGGAUUCGAUUGAUUAAUUUGAGCAUAUAAAAUCAGGUUUUAAACUUCCCUAAUCAAAAUUUAUAUUCCACAGAAUCAGUUCCUUUAACAUGAUGCAUUACAUAAUAUUUUGUUUGCAAAAUAAAGAAGAAAGAUGACAUAAUAGAAACACUCAGAGAGAGAGAAUACCUUUGACGAAAAGCUUAGAAGUGAAUCCUCUGUAAAAUACGAGUUGAGCUGCUGAAUUUUCGAGUUUGAAUGAGAGACUGCGGCAAUUCUGAAAAUGUUUUUUUCUCAUUAGCGCCGCCAUUUUUGUAAUAGAGGGUAAAGAAAUAAGUAACAGAGUAAGAGGUGAGCAGAAGCGGCCCAAUUUAGUUAUAUGCCAUGCAUGCGAUCAAAAUUGAAUGGUUAAAUGGCAGCCACUAUGUUACAUCUUGUGUAAGUAACAAACCGCCUACAUGGAUCGUUGGAUUUGGGAAUAUGAAAUCCAAUGGAUAAUAUUGAAUUUAACGAAAAAUAGAUUACAGGUUGCAUUAGUCCAAGAUUAUUUCAAACAAACCAGCUGAUGAAAUAGCCGCUAAUCAAAUUUAAAAGGGAAAAAAAAAAUCAAAUUAUAGGUUAUAGAUCUUAUUUCCAUCUUAAAUCUAUGUCUUUCAUGGUGACUCAAUGUGUAUACUAAUUUAUAAUUUGGAUCUAUAUUAGAGCUAAUGCUUCCCUAAAUAACUAAGAAAAUUUUCUUUUCAUUGAUUAAAUAUCUAUUUCCAAUAUCUUGUAUAUUUAGGAUUUGAAAAGAGGAAAAAUAGUAGGGAUGAUAAUGAGAGAAGAUAGAGAUGUCGAUUCUCAAAUCUAAUAUUAAUGCUAUACUUAUAUUCCUAUACUAAAUAAAUUAUCCAAGGUUCGUGGUUAAUGAUACGUUGCGAAUUUUUAAUUUCUAUUUAAAGCUUUGUCUAAUAUGGCUUUUCAUAAAGCUUAGAGAAAAGUAAAGCUUUUACAAAAAAACAUUUAAUUAGAAUUGUGAUAAAUUUUCUUAAAAAAAUUUAAAAAGUACUUUAAUAAAUAAGCUUUUAAAGUUAUAUAUAUUAUGAAAGAAAUGAAAUAAGAUUAUAUAAUAAAUUAAGAGUAUCUUAGAUAAUUGAACUUUAAAAAAAAAACUCGCUAAGAGGUUUAAAAUUUGAGUUUUAAUAGUGGAUACAAAAUAGUUUAUUUAAUUCUCAAAAGCUCUACUCAAAAUAGUUUAUUUAAUUCUCAAAAAAUAAAUCAUGUCUUUACCGAUACUUACAACUGCUGGUUAAAUUCUGUUGUUUCCAAUAAUUUUAUGCUGUAUCUUCUUUAAUAAUAAAGAAAACUUGCAUUAAAAUUAAAAUUAGGGUAAUACCUGAUUUUAUAAAUAGAUUGCAAUGUAAUUUUGAAAAAUAAAACAAUAAUUUACAAAAUGUUUAUAACAUAAUUUUAAUUUUUUUCAAAAAGGAAAAACAACAAAAGUAAGAAAUAGAGAAUAAGGGCUACCAACUUUGUAUCUUAAACGGCCGUUAAAUUAUUUGUAAAUGAAAGCAACGGUCAGAUAUUGGUGGAUUAUGGAAACAUGUAAUCAUAAGGACUACGAGUUUUUUUUGUUACAUUGAUAUAUUACAAUUAAAAUUUUAUUGGUAUUUACAACUAGAAUUUCAUCUGACUAUCUUUGAUAAUUCUAAACUAGUACAGCCCAAAUUCUUAUUCUCAUAUAAUAUCAAAGAUAGAUAUAUAUUCUUUUCCUCCAUUAAUAACGAGACAUUUUUACUUCUAUCCAAUUUAAAUAGAACAAGAAUUAAGUCAUUUUAAUAGUUAGGACUCAGAACUCAUACACGCUAGUUUGAGAGUGUGGGGUGUGACAAUGGGCCAAGAGACCAUUGACAAGUACAAAAGAGUGGUAGAAAUUAAUUCAAACCGCUACACACGCUAUUGCAACCAAAUUGAGGGCCCAUUUUUGUUUAUUUCGUUGAAAAGUAGUCUGUAAAAUUAACUCAAACCGCUACAUACGCUAUUGCAACCCAAUUGAGGGCCCAUUUUUGUUUAUUUUGUUGAAAAGCAGUUUGCGCAAUUAAUUCAAACUGCUACACACGCUAUUGCAUCUUUUGAAAAAGAAAAAUGGAAUAGUUUUUCAAAAUUAGUUUAGAGAAUAAGAUUUACUAAUAAUGAUGUUAGAAAUCUUAAUAUUUGAAUCUUAAUAUUAUCUAUCACUCGUUUAUUAAAUAAUAGAUUUCAUAGUUUGUAAAAUUACUUAACCACUUGAUAAAUGUUAUAUUUGUUGGGACUAGAUUGGGACUUAAAUAUUGGAAUAUCUAGUAUUGCAUAAAAAAAAAAAACUUAACAAUUUAUCUUCACACGACUAAUUGUUUUUACAUCACAACUAACCUUAAUUAUUUUAAAAGUUAUAGUAUUAUUAAAUUGCCCUAACUAGUUAUCAAAAGGUGAAAGCAUGUUUAAAAAAGAAAUUACUAAGAAACAUUUGUUUAAACGAAGGUUAAGGUUAUGAUCAAUUAAUUAAGAAGAAACUUACUAUCAAAGGUUAAGAUUAUGAACAAUUUAAGGAAGUUAUUGAGUAGAGAAAGGGACAGAAUGGUUGUCUGAUUUGUCGGUGACAAGAAUGCUUGUGUUGUGAAAAGAAAGCCGAUGGUUUGUAAAUUUGUUGAAUUGGUCCCAAUUAGUAUAGUAACCAUCUAUUGAGCGGUAAAAUAUUAAUUUAAAUAGUCAUGAAAUCUAAUAUAUAAUAGAUUACUAACACACAUAAAUUAAAACUUAACUGUCAGAAAUCAUAACAUUACUCUACUCUUCAGUGGAGUUCUCUUAAACAGAUUAUGUGAGAUUGCCUACAUUAAAAAAUAUGUUAAGACUGCUUGUUGAAAAGCAAUAUUCGCUUUUCCAUUAUAUCCAUAGCUUUGAAUUGAUAAAGUUGUAUUCAACAACUCUUGAAAAGACUAAGCAGGUCUUCUUUGCAUUUGAUCACUGGUAUUUCAGUUAAGUUUGUCGUUUACUUAAAUUUUUCUUGCUUUCAAUUUCCACUGUUGUUUUUUUUUUUAAUAAAAUAAUUUGUUUAACUAGUCAUAGAAAUAAGAGAGAAAAUGGGUCAUUUCUUGACUCAAAGUCAAUUAUAAUUAUCAAAACUUGAGGGGACAUCGCAUGCCUAAAUUCCACGCACCCUAAAACAGUUUGAUUUGCUUUCACGCGUUCAUGAAUUUCCAUGAAAGAGCCUGUCUUUCGUCUCUUUCGGGACAAUGACUACAAUUAUGGAAAAAAAUUAUAAUUCUCGUUAGAUUGUAACCAAAUUAUUAUCCCUAAUUUUUUAAAGUUAAAUAAAAUAAAAUUCAUGCUUAAGUAUUUAGUAAUUAGAGAGAGAUAGAGAGGAUUGAGGGACAAUGUUUCGCGAUUUGGGGUCAAUUCAAAGUCAACUAACGUGUAAAACACGUGUAUGCAUAGAAAACGCUUAGAUUAUUUGUGUUCCAAGUGCAAGAAAUUAAGAAAAGAAAAAUUGAUUUCCUUUCAUGAACUUCCAAGAAAGAAAGAAGACCCUUCACCUUGUUCGUGACAACAAAUGAAUGAAUGAUGUUGAUAUGACAAAUACAAGCGCUAUUACAGGGAACAGCAUAAGACCGAGACUUGAUAAAAGGUUUGUUGAAUUACAUGUUAUUUUCUUUUGACUUGAAUGAUGUUGAAAAUAAAAUAAAAUAAAAUUGUAAUCAGGGUGAUGUGUGCAAUAUAGUGAAAUAAAUAAAUAGAGAAGAGAAAUUCGUUGAUCAAUAUUAAAGAACUCAUCCAAAGUGAUCGUCAAAGUCUAGAGGUUCGGUAUGAUUAGCAUUUAUUUUUAUUUUUUUUGGCUUAGCAUCAUAUAUAGUCACCUGUCGUGUGAUCUAGGACAUGUUUAGAAAUCCUUUUAUUUUAACUUCCGUAUUCUUAUUAUUUAAUUAGUUAUAAAGUUUUUAAGUAUUUGAGUAUUGAUCACAUGUCUCCUAAUCUAAAAAUAUGUUUUUACGAGUACAAAUAACAAACUAUGAUUUUAACAUCCUUUUAUACUAAACCCUAAAAAUACAUGAAUUUAUCAAAAUAAGUAAAUUAAUUUAAAUUGGUAUGGCAUAAUAGAAGUUUUACCUGCCAAAACAAAUUAAAAAAAUAUUACACUUAAAUCAAAUAUUGACAAAAAUAGAUAACAAUCUAAUGAGAAUCUUAACUAGACAUUUUUAAUUCUAUCCAAUUUAACUGGAACGAGAAUUAAGUCCUUUCAAUACUUAGGACUCAUAACUCAUACACACUAGUUUGAGAGUGUGGGGUGUGACAAUGGGACCAUUGACAAGUAUAAAAGAGUGGUCGCAAUUAAUUCAAACCACUACACACGCUAUAUUGAGGGCCCACUUUUGUUUAUUUCGUUGAAAAGUAGUUUUCACAAUUAAUUCAAACCGCUACACACGCUAUUGCGUCUUUUAAAAAAGAAAAAUGGAAUAGUUUUCCAAAAUUAAUUCAGAGAAGAAGAUUUACUAAUAAUGAUGUUAGAAAUCUUAAUAUUAUGUAUCACUCAUUUAUUAAAUAAUAGAUUUCAUAGUUUGUAAAUUUACUUAACCACUUGAUAAAUGUUAUAUUUGUUGGGACUAAAUUGGGACUUAGAUGUUGGAAUAUCUAGUAUUGCAUAAAAAAAUAAAUAAAAACUUAACAAUUUAUCUUCGCAUGACUAAUUGUUUUUACAUCACAACUAACCUUAGUUAUUUUUUAAAGUUAUAGUAUUAUUAAAUUGCCCUAACUGGUUAUCAAAAGAGGAAAGCAUGUUAAAAUAAGAAAUUACUAAGAAACAUGUGCUUAAACAGAGGUUAAGGCUACGAAUAAUUAAGAAGAAACAACUUACAAUCAAAGGUUAAGAUUAUGAACAAAUUAAGGAAGGUAUUGAGCAGAUAAAGGGACGGAAUCAUUGUCUGAAUUGCCGGUGACAAGAAUGCUUGUGUUGUGAAAAGAAAUCUGAUGGUUUGUAAAUUGUUGAAUUUUUUAUUCGCUCGCUCCAACUGACUUACUAAUGCCAAAUUUAUUACUUUGCACAGUAGUGUUUAGGAUCCUCAAGAUCAACUCUUAAUUUGGUCCCAAUUAGUGCAGAAAUCAUCUAUUGAGCAAUAGAAUAAGAAUUUUUCUAGUCAUGAAAUUUAAUAUAUAAUAUAUCCUUGACACACAUCGAUUAGAACUUAAUUGUUAGAAUUCAUAACAUUACUCUACUCUCAAGGGGAGUUCUCUUAACAUAUUAUCUUAGGUUGCCUACAUUCAAAAUAUGUUAGACUGCUCUUUGAAAGCAAUAUUCCCUUUUCCGUAACUUUGAAUUGAUCCAAUAGCUCUUGAAAAGCACAUAAUAAUCAUUAUAAAUUUAAUCAAAGACUAAGCAGGUCUUCUUUGCAUUUGAUCACUGGCAUUUCAGUUAAGUAUGUCAUUUACUUAAAUUUUUCUUGCUUUCAAUUUUCACUGUUGUUUUUUUUUUUAAUAAAAUAAUUUGUUUAACUAGUCACAGAAAUAAGAGAGAAAAUGGGCCAUUUCUUGACUCAAAGUCAAUUAUAAUUAUCAAAACUUGAGCGGACAUUGCAUGCCUAAAUUCCACACACCCUAAAACGGUUUGAUUUGCUUUCACGCGUUCAUGAUUUUCCAUGAAAGAGAGUGCCUCUCGUCUCUUUCCGGACAGUGACGACAAUUAUGUUAACGUGACAAAUACAUAACGUUAUUACAUACAAGAAUAAGUUUUUGGAGCCGAGACUUGAGGGAGGUUCUAUCUAAUUCUAAAGAUUGUAACCAAAUCAUUAUCCCCAAUUUUUUUCAGUUAAAUAAAAUAAAAUUUAUGCUUAAGUAUAAAUAAAAUCCAUAGUGGAUAAAUAUUUGAUUAUCGAUUUUUUUUAAUGUAAAAUUGCUGGUUUGUUGCUUAAAAUUUUCAAUAAUAAUUUCACUUAUUUAGUAAUUAGAGAGAGAGAGAGGAUUGAGGGCCAAUGUUUCGCGAUUUGGGGUCAAUUCAAAGUCAACUAAGGUGUAAAACAUGAUUUCCUUUCAUGAACUUCGAAGAAAGAAAGAAGACUCUUCACCUUCUUCAUGACAACGAAUGAUGUUGAUAUGACAAAUACAAUCGCUAUUACAGGGAACAGCAUAAGACCGAAAUUUGAUAAAGGGUUUGUUAAAUUACAUGUUAUUUUCUUGUUAACUGAAUUGGAAGAAAAAAUAAAAAUAAAAUAAAAUUGUAAUCAGUGUGAUGUGUGGAAUAUAUUGAAAUAAAUAAAUAGAGAAGAGAAAUUCGUUGAUCAAUAUUCAAGAACUCAUCCAAAGUGACUGUUAAAGUCUAGAGGUUCCGUAUGAUUAGCAUUUAUUUUUUAAUUUUUUGGCUUAACAUCAUAUGUAGUCACUGGUCGUGUGAUCUAGGACAGGUUUAGAAAUCUUUUUUUUUUUUUUAACUUCCGUAUUCUUAUUAUUUAAUUAGUUAUAGGGUUUUUUAGUAUUUGAGUAGUGAUCACAGGUCUCCUAAUCUAAAAUUAUGUUUUACGAGUACAAAUAAAAACUAGGAUUUUAACAGCCUUUUAUACUGAACCCUAAAAAUACAUGAAUUUAUCAAAAUAAAUAAAUUUGAAUUGGUAUGCCAUAAUAAAAAUUUUACUUGCCAAAACAAAUUAAAAAAAAAUAUGACGCUUAAAUCAAAUAUCGACAAAAAUAGAUAAAAAUCCAACAAGAAUCUCAAAAAUAAGAAAGAUAUCUUCAAAAUAGAAGCGUCCAAGAGAAAUUUGGCGAAGAUUUGCUAAUCCACAUUGAAAAUGUCACUUUUCCUUGAGAACUUCAUAAUGAUAUAUUAUGAGCCUAAGACAAAUACCAAUUACUCAAGUUAUGGCCCUAUGAAGACAUCCUAUUCAUUCUCCCUAGACCAGGACGUGUCGCACAUGUUUGCAUUCAAAUUUAGGUGAAAAUCUACUCUCAUUCAAGGGAUAUAUAGGUACCUGUGAAGUCUCAAACCCGAGAUAAUGUGAAAGCAAAUCGGGAGUUUGAUUAAAUUCAGCCAAUUAUUAGUGUGUACGGAUGGUAGGGAUGGAAAAAAACUCCGACCGUUCUUAGGUAUGGUAUUACCCAGAUCUGGCCUAAGCAUGUUUUUUUUGAACACUCAGAAUUUUUUAAUCAAAACUUAAAAAACCUAGAAUUUAUAUUUUAUAAUAUUAUAUAUAUUUAUUUUAUUUUAUAAUUUUAUAUUUUCAAAUUUUAUUUUAAUGAAUUGGAAUUAAAAAUAUGAGUUUUAAAUGUUUAAAAUUUUAAAAAUAGAUAAUAAGUGGACCAAAUGAACAAAAUAAUAGAUAUUUUAUAAUAUUCUUCAUAAAAAUCCAAGUUUUGAGCUAGCCCAUAAGCUUGUCUAGUGAAGUCUGGGUACCCGCGUUGCCCAAGGUUCCGUCAGAAUCCAGGCUGUGCAGAUAUUUAUGGACGGAGAGGAAAUAUUUUCAGUUGACUGAAUUAAAUAAAAAUAUAUUACAAUCAUAUUAUAUAUUAACAGUAAAAAUAAAAAGAAAUGAAGAAAAACGCAUGCAAGACUUAGACAAAGUCAAUUAAAAGCUGGGAGUAUCAUCAGUUCAAUUGGUUUUAAAUAGCGUAGAGCCAUCCUCUCGUUGUUGCAGAAGAGAGACAGAAAGAGUGUGUGUAGGCGAUUAUAAUUAAGCAGAUAUAAUGUGUGGUUCAAAAAGAGUGUGGGUGAGUGAGUUAAUUUUCAUAUUAUUAGUAGUAAAAGGGUGGUGGAGUGAGGGAUGUUUGGAGCAAGAGAGGUCUGCUCUCCUCCAACUCAGACAUUUCUUCAAUGAUGAUCACCGUCUUCAAAACUGGGUAGACGAUGAGUAUUAUUCAGAUUGUUGUCAGUGGGAACGGGUUGAGUGCAACGACACCACUGGCAGAGUGAUUGAAUUAGAUCUAGCAGUAACUCGGAAUUGGGAAUCAGCAGAGUGGUAUAUGAAUGCCUCUCUGUUUACUCCUUUUGAACAAUUAGAGUCUCUUGAUCUAAUAGGGAACAAUAUAGCCGGUUGUGUUGAAAAUGAAGGUCCGUAAUUUACUCUAUUUUAAUUCUUCCUCAUAAUUUUUUCCAUUUAUCUGAUCCCUUUUGGUUUUUAUUUAAUUUGUAUGUGAUACAAUAAAAUUACUUUUUAUUUUUUGGCAGGUCUAGAUAGGUUAUCAAGGUUGAACAACUUGAAGUUUCUUUAUUUAGACCUUAACCACUUCAACAACAGCAUCUUUUCAUCUCUAGGUGGUCUUUCAUCACUCAGAAACUUAUCAUUGGCUGCUAAUCGAUUGAAUGGAAGUGUUGAUAUUAAAGGUAAGUAAGCUUCAUCCCUUCUCCCCUGUCCCAUCUUUUGUGGAUCUUAUUUCACUGAGCAGCUGGAAGUAUUGAUACGAGAUCUAGCUAGACUCUUGCGAGUUUAGGCUUCACGGCUUUGAAUAGUAUAAAAAUAAGUUGAAGAAAUUAUCAAUAUAUGCAAUUUUCAAUGCUUCUCAUAAUCAGACACAAUUCAAUCUAAUUAUUUCGUAUGUCCUGUCUUCAAAAGUAAAGAAUUGUACACUAAUUGGAAAUCGACAUCGUAGCUUUUUAUUUUCUGUAAUGCUAUUUCUUCGUUAACAAGUUUAUAUCCUAAGAGGGAUUGGAUUGAAAAAAAAAAAGAAGUUUUGAUGUUCAAUGUAAGCCAUGAUAACCUGCAUCUUAUUUGUCUGCCGACAUCCAAAUUUGUGCACUGAAUUUAGUAUUUUGGUUAUUGUGAAGGGAUCAGAUAUUGGCUUCCAUAGACCAACUUGUAUUUACUUAAUUAAUUAAUUAACGACAUUUAGUAUUUAACAAAUUAAAAUUUCAUGUUUAAUCUAUUUUAAUUUUUUUAAGAAAAAAGAAAUAGAUAUAGCAGCAGGUAAAGCUGAAAUAAAUUUUAAUUCCUUACAAAUUUAAAUUCAUGGUUGUCAGCUAAAUAUAACUGCUUAAAGCCACUCUUUUCGCUGAGAUUUAACCAAAAAAAAAGGAGAAAAUAAUUUAUUUAAUUAACUCUGUUUUAAGUGUUGGAAUAAAUACAGGACUAGAAUCCUUGAGUAACUUGGAGAUGCUGGACAUGAGGGACAAUGCAAUCGACAAUCUAGUGGUUCCUAAAGGUAUACAAAAUGACACUAACCCAAAAUAAUUUAAUCCGAAAUUGUAUCCCAAAUAGAUUACAGAGGUUUGAGGAAGUUGGAUACCCUUUAUUUGGGGGGGAAGGGAAAUUGCAGUGAUAUAUGGAAGCAAGGUGUUGCAAUCAAUAAAGAAAUUCGUUGGUCAAUAUUCAAGGACUCAUCCAAAGUAAUCGUUAAACAUUUCUUCAAUGAUGAUCAACGUCUCAAAACUAGGUAGACGCGGGAGAUGAUGAGAAUAAUUUAGAUUGUUGUCAGUGGGAAGGGAUUGAGUGCAACAAAACCACAGGCAGAGUGAUUAAAUUAGAUCUAGCACAAACUCGAAAAUGGGAAUCAGCGAAGUGGUAUAUGAAUGCCUCUCUGUUUACUCCCUUUCAACAAUUAGAGUCUCUUGAUCUAAUUGGGAACAAUAUAGCUGAUUGUGUUAAAAACGAAGGUCAUUAAUUUACUCUAUUUUAAUUCUUCCUCCUCGUAAUUUCUUACAUCUAUCUGAUCCCUUUCGGCUUUUGUUUAAUUUGUACGUGAUACAAUAAAAUUAUUUUUUUUCAGGUCUGGAGAGGUUAUCAAGGUUGAACAACUUGAAGUUUCUUGAUUUAGGCUUUAACCACUUCAACAACAGCAUCUUUUCAUCUCUAGGUGGUCUUUCAUCACUUAGACACUUAUCAUUGGCUGAUAAUAGAUUGAAUGGAAGUAUUGAUGUUAAAGAUAAGCAAGCUUCAUCCCUUCUCUCGUGUCCCAUCUUUGUGGAUCUUAUUUCAUCGACCAGCUGGAAGUAUUGAUACGAGAUCUAGCUAGACUCUUGCUAGUUUAAGCUUCAAGGCUUUGAAUAUUAUAAAAAUAAGUUUAAGGAAUUAUCAAUAUAUGCAAUUUUCUAUGCUUCUCAUAAUCAGACACAAUUCAAUCUAAUUAUUUCGUAUGUCAUGUCUUCAAAAGUAAAGAAUUGUACACUAAACGGAAAUCGACAUUGUAGCUUUUUAAUUUUUCUAAUGCUCUUUCUUUGUUAACGAGUUUAUAUCCUGAGAGUGGAUUGGAUUAAAAAAAAAAAAAAAAAAAAGUUUUGAUGUUCAAGGUAAGCCAUAAUAACAUGCAUCUUAUUUAUCUGCCUAUAUCUAAAUUUGUGCACUGAAUUUAGUAUUUUGGUUAGUGUGAAGGGAUCAGAUAUUGGCUUCCAUAAACCAACUUGUAUUUACUUAAUUAAUUAAUUAACACCAUUUAGUAUUUAACAAAUUAAAAUUUCGUGUUUAAUUUGUCUUAUUUUUUAUUUUUUGAAGCAAGAAUAAGGUAUAGCAGUAGGUAAAGUUGAAAUACAUAUUUAUUCCUUACAAAUUUAAAUUCGUUUUCAGCCAAAUAUACCUACUUAAAACCACUCAAUCAGGCCAUUGGCAACAGUUUUUUAGGUUUUUCUAGUUAACCGUGUACUUUUUUGCUUAUUAAUAAAAUUCUUUUGUGCUGAGAUUUAAAAUAAAGAAGGAGAAAAUAAGUUAUUUAAUUAACCCUGUUUUUAAGUGUUGGCAUAAAUACAGGACUGGAUUCCUUGAGUAACUUGGAGGAGCUGGACAUGACAGGCAAUGCAAUCGAUAAUCUUGUGGUUCCUAAAGGUAUACAAAAUGUUCAAAUAUUAAUAAUUUGGAGGACAGUUUAAUUGAUUUGAUUAGGGAAUGCCCAAUGACACUUACCCAAAAUAAUUUAAUCUGAAAUUGUAUCCAAAACAGAUUUCAGAGGUUUGAGGAAGUUGAAUACCCUUCGUAUAGGGGGAACCAGAAUUCAAAUGAUAGAUGGAAGCAAGGUGUUGCAAUCAAUAGGAUCACUACCGUCCCUCAAAACACUUGACCUUUGGUAUACUAAUUUUACGGGAACAGUAGUUAAUCAAGGUAAGUAAAUCUUUUAUGUCGAAAAUAAUUGAAUUAAUAUAUAUAGCUAAAAUUUAUUGUUUCUACUUCUUUCUAAAUAGAAUUGCACAAUUUCACCAACUUGGAAGAAUUGAUAUUGCUCGAGUCUGAUCUCCAUGUAAGCCAGCUUCUACAAAGCAUCGCAUCAUUCACUUCGUUAAAGUAUUUGUCAAUGGGAGGUUGUACUUAAUGAAGCAAUUAUGGGUAUCCAAAAGAUUUUUUCUUAAUUCGAUAAUAAAUUAUGGGUAUCUGAAGCUUUUAUGAUAUUAAUUCGAUAAUAAUUCUUUCUUUUCAAGUUAAUUUUUUCCCCUAAAAUAAGAUUUUUUUUCUUUUAAAUUUCAUAUAUUUUCAUUGUCCAAUAGUUCUAGCUUCUCUUAAUUGCAGGAUUCUUGAUUAAGGUUAAUGAAAUUUUAGUUCUGUUAUGUUAAGAAUAUUUCGAUCGCUUAGAAGAGUAAAGAAAAAUAAGUAAAUUAACCAAAAAAAAAAGAGAAAAGGACCGGAUUAUCCUUAUUCCCUUGCAUUAUGUGAUCAAUAUCAAAAUUAUAACCAUUUCUUGUUUAUUGCUUGUAGAUUUUCUUAAAUUCAAGAAUUUGGAACAUCUGGACAUGGGUGGGGCGCAAGUUGACGUCAACACCAGUUUUCUUCAAAUUGUCGGCGAAUCGAUGCCUUCUCUUAAGUUUUUAUCACUGACAGGUUCAAGUCUUAAUAAAAACGCCAUUCUUGAUCAAGGUUAGUUAAUGAUUCUCUUUCUCCCUCUCUCGCAUCUUAACUAAAUUUAAUUGAGAAUAUCUAUAAUGCUAGCUAUUUAUAAACUUAAUGAAAGAUGAUAAGGAGCUACUAUAAUGACAAAAACAACUGUAAAAAUAGUGCGCUGUUGUAGUGUUAAUUGAAAAAUAAUGCUAAUUUUAUAGUCAUUUUGUUGCCAUUACGUCAGAUUCCAUUGUUCAAUUAUUUAAGUUUUAUGCAAAUAUAUUUUUCAGGACUUUGUCGGUUAGUGCAUCUACAAGAGUUAUACAUCGGCGGUAAUGAUUUGAGAGGUAGCUUGCCAUGGUGCUUGGCAAACAUGACAUCCCUCCAAGUGUUAGAUGCCUCUUUUAAUCAACUUACUGGAAACAUCUCCCCAGGCCUUUGUGAGUUGGUGCUUCUGAGAGAGUUAUACAUUGAUUACAAUUAUUUAAGAGGUAGCUUGCCUUUGUGCUUGGCAAAUUUGACUUCCCUUCGAGUAUUAGAUGUCUCUUACAAUCAACUUACUGAAAACAUCUCAUCUUCCCUCAUGCAUCUAAUAUCUAUGGAAAAGCUCAUACUUUCAAAUAAUCACUUCUUCCAAAUCCCUAUUUCACUUGAACCACUUUUCAAUCUCACAAAACUCAAGACUUUCGAUGGUGAAAUAUACGCAGAAACUGAGUCACAUUAUAAUUCUUUGACCCCAAAAUUCCAAUUGACUUCUAUCUCAUUGUCUGGCUACGGAGAUGGUGGCACAUUUCCCAAAUUCUUGUACCAUCAGCAUGACUUGAAGAAUGCUGAUCUCUCACACCUUAACUUGAGUGGAAAUUUUCCAAAUUGGUUGGUAGAAAACAAUACGAACUUAGAGACGCUUCUUCUUGCCAAUAACUCUCUUUUUGGAUCAUUUCGGAUGCCAAUUCAUUCCCACCAGAAAUUAGCAACAUUGGAUGUCUCCAACAAUUUCUUUCAAGGCCAUAUCCCAGUAGAAAUCGGAACAUAUCUGCCAGGCUUAAUGCAUUUAAACUUAUCUAGAAAUGCUUUCAACGGUAGCAUUCCCUCUUCAUUUGCUGAUACGAAAAUGUUGAAAAAGCUUGGACAUAUCCUACAAUCAGUUGACUGGUGAAAUCCCUGAGCGCAUGGCCAUGGGUUGCUUCUCAUUGGAAAUUCUUGCAUUGUCAAACAACAGUUUGCAAGGUCAUAUAUUCUCUAAAAAAUUUAACUUGACAAAUUUGAUGAUGUUGCAGUUGGAUGGUAAUAAAUUCAUUGGAGAGAUCCCAGAAAGCUUAUCUAAGUGCUAUUUGUUGGGAGGAUUGUAUCUGAGUGAUAAUCAUCUCUCUGGUGAGAUUCCAAGAUGGUUGGGUAAUUUGUCAGGUUUAGAAGAUAUUAUAAUGCCCAAUAACAAUCUUGAAGGACCAAUUCCAAUCGAGUUUUGUCAGCUUGAUUAUCUGAAGAUUUUAGACCUUUCAAACAAUAGUAUUUUUGGAACUUUACCAUCUUGUUUUAGUCCAGCAUCUAUCGAACAAGUUCAUUUGUCGAAAAAACAAGAUAGAAGGACGGCUGGAGAGUAUAAUCCAUGACAGCCCUCAUUUGGUGACAUUCGAUCUUAGUUAUAACAGCUUACACGGAAGUAUUCCAAAUCGGAUUGACAGACUACCUCAGUUAAACUACCUUCUUUUAGCUCAUAAUUAUAUUAAAGGCGAAAUACCAGUUCAAUUAUGCCAGUUGAAGGAAGUGCGGUUGAUUGAUCUUUCUCAUAAUAAUCUAUCUGGUCAUAUUCCUCCUUGCUUGGUUAACACUUCACUCAGUGAAGGUCAUCAUGAGGCAGUAGCUCCAACUUCUAGUUCGUGUGGUCGAGCGUCUGGCUAUGCAAGUCCAUGUGCGAAAAAUACAAGUGGACUUCCGAUGGGAAAGGAAGAAACUGUACAGUUCACAACAAAGAAUAUGUCCUACUAUUAUCAAGGAAGAAUUUUGACGAGUAUGUCUGGGAUUGAUCUUUCUUGUAACAAACUGACAGGUGAGAUUCCUACUCAAAUUGGAUAUCUUACAAGGAUUCGUGCGCUAAAUCUAUCUCAUAACAAUUUGACGGGCACAAUCCCGACAACAUUUUCAAACCUGAAGCAAAUCGAAAGCUUGGACCUCUCCUACAACCUACUGCAUGGGAAAAUCCCUUCUCAGCUCACUGUGCUAAAUACAUUGGCGGUCUUCACAGUAGCAUACAAUAACUUAUCAGGAAAAAUUCCAGAUAGAGUUGCACAAUUUUCAACUUUUGAGGAAGAUAGCUAUGAGGGGAAUCCUUUUCUUUGUGGAUGGCCACUGUCUAAAAGUUGCAAUGAUAGUGGAUUAUCAGCAGUGACACGAGAAGCUUACACUGAUAAUGAAGAAGGUGAUAGUUUAAUUGACAUGGACAGUUUCCUAAUCACUUUUACAGUAUCUUAUGGAAUUGUGAUAUUAGGAAUUAUUGGAGUUUUGUACAUAAACCCCUAUUGGCGACGAAGAUGGUUUUACCUUGUUGAAGUAUGUAUGAUCUCUUGCUACUAUUUUGUAGUAGAUAAUCUUAUUCCUAGAAGAUUCUAUGGUGGAUGGAUGUAAUUUCAUUUACUUUACAACUUAUAUGUAAUUUUUAAAGAAUUUUCUUUUGCAUGCAUGGAAUAGCAACUCAAUAAAAGUAUUUGAUGCAAAUUGUCCUAGAACAACUUAGUAAUUUCAUUGCUACUAUUUGGUUGUAUAUAUACAGUUAAUGAAAUUUUUUAAUCAUUCGCAGUAGGAAUUUCUUUAGAUGGCGGCCAAAACUAACAGAUUUGGGGCUCUACUUCUACACAUCAUAACAGGCAAAAGGUCUCUCUUUUACACGAUCUGAAUGAAGAUUAACUUACGCCCUCUAGGCUCUGGAGUGUGUGUAAGUUCUCUAUUAAACUUGACGGUUGAGAUUUCAGGUCCAGAUGAAAGUGAAAUGCAGGCGACGAGACUACACUUUAAGUAAACUGGGACAAACUUAAAAUAAAAAAAAUUGUAGUCCAGGGUGAGAGUGAUGGGUAGCUCAACUUAUGGAGGAUAACUAGGACUUGGAAUAACUAUCAGAUUUGCAACUCUUGUUAUAUGCUAGUGGGGAUUUUAGGUAGAAAUUUUUUUUUUUUUUCCUUUUUGCCCUCUUCCUCACAAUAAAAACACGUAACACACCAAGCCGUGCCCAAAAUAAUCCUAUUUUAUUCAUGUCAUGAAUCCAAAAACUAUCCCAGCUCACUUUGUUUAACCAGCAUAACUAAAUUGUGGGUAUAAAUGAACACACUUUCGAAGCCUGUAACUUAUAAUAAGCUCAAACCCAAAAAUGACAUUUAAAUCCUGCAAGUGUUUUUCAUCAUCCCUAACAAAAGAAACAAGAAAAUUAUAUACCAAUAAUUUUUCCAUAAAAAAUACUGAUUUGAGUUGAAACACUAUACAAACUGGGUUUUAUACACUUGCAGAAAGCUACACGGUAGACAAAAUCUAGCAGCUACAUAUUGGUAUCACUUUCAGCUGGUCAUGAAUGGUGUGCAUUCAGCAGUGCUCGAUAGACCAUGUCUAUGAAUUGAUUGUCCUAUUACAUAUAAAAAGCUGGUCAGAUAUACAAGGAAAAAAAUAAUAAUUGAAAAUGCAUCACAAAAAAUAAGUGUUUCGCAUUAGUGUUUGCACUCUAAGCAUGGCAAAGUGGUGCGGGGUUCAUGAUUUUGAAGACUGUGAUAAGUGAAAAAUAGUUCAAUCCACUGAUGAACAUAAAUUUAUUUACAUGUCAAUUUAGAUAUCAUCAAAAAGUAAACAGUAAUUCAGAGUCACUUAAAAUAGUUGAUAAAAUGCGUGCCAUGAAUGUAUUUUGUACAUAAGAAAUCCAAAGAGUAUUUCUGACAAUACAAAUAUGCUAGCUUUAAGUCUGCUGUCAAUAUGCAAUUAAGAAGAUUAUACCAGCUGCAUGAUAAAGUUCCCCUAAUCUUAAUAACAGUAAACAUGAACAUGUCAGAUGCAAUUAGCUUUGAGCAUUUGCAUAACCAGAAAUCCUAACCUGAACAAGCACCAGAAGUGUCUCUCGGACUUUCUCCUUGCUGAUAAAUGGUCCGCUGUCUGAAGUAAGAGCAGGAGUAAGAGAUGGUGGAGGGUUGGUGGUGGAAAAGGUUGAAGCACUGGGGCACCAUAUGGGCGUUGCAGACUCGGGGGAGGAUUAAGUGGCGGAGCUGUUGGUGUAGAUGAAGAGACAAGCUGCAUCAUCCGUGCAUAGGAGGAUGGAGGAGGAACAAAGAAUAAGGAAGGCUUUACAAGAUUAGGGGUAGGUGCUGAUAGAGGUGGAGAUGGUAUUUGCAAAGUUGGCACGAUAGGAGAAAGCAACACUGGCGGGAUGAGAAGGUAAAGAAAUAGUUGUAUUGGACUGGUAAGGUUGUGCAGAGAUUGCUGCAUUAGAAUUAUUCCCCACAGUCAAAGCUGUCUGCAAUGAUAAGGACAGAUGUCAUAUAAAAGGACAUCAUAGAAGUUGAACCUCACACAAAAAUGAAGUGAUAACAUAUGAAAAUAGUAUAUGACUUGCUGCAUUUUGUGGUAAUGUUGCAUACUUAUGUAGAAACAUAUUAUUUCAAAGAAAACAUACACUGAAGAAGUUCACAAAAGCAGGAUCUUCAGGAACAUCAACAGCAUUUGAGGGAGUUGACUCUAGAGGACCAUCCAUAACUGCCAUAGUUGGAACAGCUUCCAGUUCCUCAAACUCACUGCAGUUUAACAUAAAAGGAACUUGAUGACCAAUUUAAGUAAUAAUUAGAUGAUAUAAGAGGUUAGGGAAAAUGAUGAGUGGACCCUUAUGGAAGAUGAUUUCACCUUAGCUAAACACGAAAAUAAAAUGAAAUCAAAGCUGAAUCCUCGAGUGCAAUGCAAAUAAUUUUUUCUCUCUCUUCUCUAACUCCUCUUAUUCGAAAUUGCUCAUCAUUGUGCAGUUCCUCGAGAUUUUGCUAGAGUAGAGAAAGCUAUUCUCCCGUUAAGUGCAGAGGAAAAAAGGGCAAGGGCCUGGUAUGAUGCUAUUCUAUAGGAAGUGAGAAGGUGAAGGGCUAAAAUAUUUUGCAAUUUGGAGGUGGUGUUUGUUAGUGUGUGUACUUCUGAAUUUAUUACCUCUUUAGGAUCCAUAGAAAUUGCCUCUUGUUCAGCAUGCACUGUGCCUACGAGUAAGGCGAGCUUGCAUGGUAUCUAUUGUCUAUUUACUUGGAUAUUCAAACAGGACUACCAGCAACCAAACACAAAUCCCAAAACAAACACUCUUUCAAGUGCAAGGAAAGAGUAACUUGGGCAUAUUUAUGGUUCAAGCACUACAAUAACUAAGAAUGUGAUGACUGUCCACAAACACUAUAUCAGUGCCUUUUGAACUACAUCACAUGCUUGAAGACUUUUUUUUUAGUCAUACAUAAAUUAGCUAUAAAAUCAAGACCCUUAUACAACUAAAAAGAAAGAAAAAUUGUUUGCUACUACAUAUCAAAACUGGUAAUAGCAAUGUAAGAUGGCAGACUUCUUACUUAAACAGAUGAGAGGCUACAAAUAAAAAUUUGUGCAAAUAAAAUAUAUGAUAAAGAGCAUAAUACUUUCUUGGGGGCUAAAAAUAAUAUACAACUUGUGAAAUAUAAAUUGAGCUACCAUUACCUUUUAGAUGUGGCAACUUUCGACUUUUGAGGCACCUUGGAAUAUGCAUUCAGAAUCCUGCAUUUGGAAGCCAAUAAAUAAUGUUAAUAACAAUUUUACAAUAGAAAAAUUAAAAAUUGAUAAAUGGCAGUUGUAAUUUAUGUAUGGUAAAGAUAGCAUCACAUCCAGGUUCCUCCCAUAAACAUGCUUGUAACAAGAAUUAGUUUGCCUCAACUGCUAGCAACUAUACAAUAGUAAAAAUCACUCUUAUGAACUCAAAAUACUAGGCACCAAUAAGAGUAUGACACAGCCAUUCUAAAUGGAAGAGAAUACAACUGUUUUACAACUAUGUUGCAUCAGGAGAUAUGUUAGGAGGAUUAAUCCAGAUACCUUCCAACCCAAAUUAGGAAAACUCGAGUCAGAAACCAGGAGCUGCAACCAAACCUUACAAUCUUGAAGGAAGAAGGAGACUUGGGGCAUUUUUCCAGAUAGGUGACUUACAAGAUCUCCUGCCAAGAAAAUAUCUAUUGCUUUGAACCUCCAUUGAAAUUUCUUUUCCUUUUUCUUGUUUUGACUUGGAACUUUCCAGCAUCAUCUAUUUGAUCUUUUUUAAAGCUAAAAUAGCAAUCUAUGCGUUGUCAACAUCUUAUCCCUUGAUACGAGAUCUAGCUAGACUCUUGCUAGUUUAAGCUUCAAGGCUUGAAUAUUAUAAAAUAAGUUUAAGGAAUUAUCAAUAUAUGCAAUUUUCUAUGCUUCUCAUAAUCAGACACAAUUCAAUCUAAUUAUUUCGUAUGUCAUGUCUUCAAAAGUAAAGAAUUGUACACUAAACGGAAAUCGACAUUGUAGCUUUUUAAUUUUUCUAAUGCUCUUUCUUGUUAACGAGUUUAUAUCCUGAGAGUGGAUUGGAUUAAAAAAAAAAAAAAAAAAAGUUUUGAUGUUCAAGGUAAGCCAUAAUAACAUGCAUCUUAUUUAUCUGCCUAUAUCUAAAUUUGUGCACUGAAUUUAGUAUUUUGGUUAGUGUGAAGGGAUCAGAUAUUGGCUUCCAUAAACCAACUUGUAUUUACUUAAUUAAUUAAUUAACACCAUUUAGUAUUUAACAAAUUAAAAUUUCGUGUUUAAUUUGUCUUAUUUUUUAUUUUUUGAAGCAAGAAUAAGGUAUAGCAGUAGGUAAAGUUGAAAUACAUAUUUAUUCCUUACAAAUUUAAAUUCGUUUUCAGCCAAAUAUACCUACUUAAAACCACUCAAUCAGGCCAUUGGCAACAGUUUUUUAGGUUUUUCUAGUUAACCGUGUACUUUUUUGCUUAUUAAUAAAAUUCUUUUGUGCUGAGAUUUAAAAUAAAGAAGGAGAAAAUAAGUUAUUUAAUUAACCCUGUUUUUAAGUGUUGGCAUAAAUACAGGACUGGAUUCCUUGAGUAACUUGGAGGAGCUGGACAUGACAGGCAAUGCAAUCGAUAAUCUUGUGUUCCUAAAGGUAUACAAAAUGUUCAAAUAUUAAUAAUUUGGAGGACAGUUUAAUUGAUUUGAUUAGGGAAUGCCCAAUGACACUUACCCAAAAUAAUUUAAUCUGAAAUUGUAUCCAAAACAGAUUUCAGAGGUUUGAGGAAGUUGAAUACCCUUCGUAUAGGGGGAACCAGAAUUCAAAUGAUAGAUGGAAGCAAGGUGUUGCAAUCAAUAGGAUCACUACCGUCCCUCAAAACACUUGACCUUUGGUAUACUAAUUUUACGGGAACAGUAGUUAAUCAAGGUAAGUAAAUCUUUUAUGUCGAAAAUAAUUGAAUUAAUAUAUAUAGCUAAAAUUUAUUGUUUCUACUUCUUUCUAAAUAGAAUUGCACAAUUUCACCAACUUGGAAGAAUUGAUAUUGCGAGUCUGAUCUCCAUGUAAGCCAGCUUCUACAAAGCAUCGCAUCAUUCACUUCGUUAAAGUAUUUGUCAAUGGGAGGUUGUACUUAAUGAAGCAAUUAUGGGUAUCCAAAAGAUUUUUUCUUAAUUCGAUAAUAAAUUAUGGGUAUCUGAAGCUUUUAUGAUAUUAAUUCGAUAAUAAUUCUUUCUUUUCAAGUUAAUUUUUUCCCCUAAAAUAAGAUUUUUUUUCUUUUAAAUUUCAUAUAUUUUCAUUGUCCAAUAGUUCUAGCUUCUCUUAAUUGCAGGAUUCUUGAUUAAGGUUAAUGAAAUUUUAGUUCUGUUAUGUUAAGAAUAUUUCGAUCGCUUAGAAGAGUAAAGAAAAAUAAGUAAAUUAACCAAAAAAAAAAGAGAAAAGGACCGGAUUAUCCUUAUUCCCUUGCAUUAUGUGAUCAAUAUCAAAAUUAUAACCAUUUCUUGUUUAUUGCUUGUAGAUUUUCUUAAAUUCAAGAAUUUGGAACAUCUGGACAUGGGUGGGGCGCAAGUUGACGUCAACACCAGUUUUCUUCAAAUUGUCGGCGAAUCGAUGCCUUCUCUUAAGUUUUUAUCACUGACAGGUUCAAGUCUUAAUAAAAACGCCAUUCUUGAUCAAGGUUAGUUAAUGAUUCUCUUUCUCCCUCUCUCGCAUCUUAACUAAAUUUAAUUGAGAAUAUCUAUAAUGCUAGCUAUUUAUAAACUUAAUGAAAGAUGAUAAGGAGCUACUAUAAUGACAAAAACAACUGUAAAAUAGUGCGCUGUUGUAGUGUUAAUUGAAAAAUAAUGCUAAUUUUAUAGUCAUUUUGUUGCCAUUACGUCAGAUUCCAUUGUUCAAUUAUUUAAGUUUUAUGCAAAUAUAUUUUUCAGGACUUUGUCGGUUAGUGCAUCUACAAGAGUUAUACAUCGGCGGUAAUGAUUUGAGAGGUAGCUUGCCAUGGUGCUUGGCAAACAUGACAUCCCUCCAAGUGUUAGAUGCCUCUUUUAAUCAACUUACUGGAAACAUCUCCCCAGGCCUUUGUGAGUUGGUGCUUCUGAGAGAGUUAUACAUUGAUUACAAUUAUUUAAGAGGUAGCUUGCCUUUGUGCUUGGCAAAUUUGACUUCCCUUCGAGUAUUAGAUGUCUCUUACAAUCAACUUACUGAAAACAUCUCAUCUUCCCUCAUGCAUCUAAUAUCUAUGGAAAAGCUCAUACUUUCAAAUAAUCACUUCUUCCAAAUCCCUAUUUCACUUGAACCACUUUUCAAUCUCACAAAACUCAAGACUUUCGAUGGUGAAAUAUACGCAGAAACUGAGUCACAUUAUAAUUCUUUGACCCCAAAAUUCCAAUUGACUUCUAUCUCAUUGUCUGGCUACGGAGAUGGUGGCACAUUUCCCAAAUUCUUGUACCAUCAGCAUGACUUGAAGAAUGCUGAUCUCUCACACCUUAACUUGAGUGGAAAUUUUCCAAAUUGGUUGGUAGAAAACAAUACGAACUUAGAGACGCUUCUUCUUGCCAAUAACUCUCUUUUGGAUCAUUUCGGAUGCCAAUUCAUUCCCACCAGAAAUUAGCAACAUUGGAUGUCUCCAACAAUUUCUUUCAAGGCCAUAUCCCAGUAGAAAUCGGAACAUAUCUGCCAGGCUUAAUGCAUUUAAACUUAUCUAGAAAUGCUUUCAACGGUAGCAUUCCCUCUUCAUUUGCUGAUACGAAAAUGUUGAAAAGCUUGGACAUAUCCUACAAUCAGUUGACUGGUGAAAUCCCUGAGCGCAUGGCCAUGGGUUGCUUCUCAUUGGAAAUUCUUGCAUUGUCAAAACAACAGUUUUGCAAGGUCAUAUAUUCUCCUAAAAAAUUUAAACUUGACAAAUUUGAUGAUGUUGCAGUUGGAUGGUAAUAAAUUCAUUGGAGAGAUCCCAGAAAGCUUAUCUAAGUGCUAUUUGUUGGAGGAUUGUAUCUGAGUGAUAAUCAUCUCUCUGGUGAGAUUCCAAGAUGGUUGGGUAAUUUGUCAGGUUUAGAAGAUAUUAUAAUGCCCAAUAACAAUCUUGAAGGACCAAUUCCAAUCGAGUUUUGUCAGCUUGAUUAUCUGAAGAUUUUAGACCUUUCAAACAAUAGUAUUUUUGGAACUUUACCAUCUUGUUUUAGUCCAGCAUCUAUCGAACAAGUUCAUUUGUCGAAAAAACAAGAUAGAAGGACGGCUGGAGAGUAUAAUCCAUGACAGCCCUCAUUUGGUGACAUUCGAUCUUAGUUAUAACAGCUUACACGGAAGUAUUCCAAAUCGGAUUGACAGACUACCUCAGUUAAACUACCUUCUUUUAGCUCAUAAUUAUAUUAAAGGCGAAAUACCAGUUCAAUUAUGCCAGUUGAAGGAAGUGCGGUUGAUUGAUCUUUCUCAUAAUAAUCUAUCUGGUCAUAUUCCUCCUUGCUUGGUUAACACUUCACUCAGUGAAGGUCAUCAUGAGGCAGUAGCUCCAACUUCUAGUUCGUGUGGUCGAGCGUCUGGCUAUGCAAGUCCAUGUGCGAAAAAUACAAGUGGACUUCCGAUGGGAAAGGAAGAAACUGUACAGUUCACAACAAAGAAUAUGUCCUACUAUUAUCAAGGAAGAAUUUUGACGAGUAUGUCUGGGAUUGAUCUUUCUUGUAACAAACUGACAGGUGAGAUUCCUACUCAAAUUGGAUAUCUUACAAGGAUUCGUGCGCUAAAUCUAUCUCAUAACAAUUUGACGGGCACAAUCCCGACAACAUUUUCAAACCUGAAGCAAAUCGAAAGCUUGGACCUCUCCUACAACCUACUGCAUGGGAAAAUCCCUUCUCAGCUCACUGUGCUAAAUACAUUGGCGGUCUUCACAGUAGCAUACAAUAACUUAUCAGGAAAAAUUCCAGAUAGAGUUGCACAAUUUUCAAACUUUUGAGGAAGAUAGCUAUGAGGGGAAUCCUUUUCUUUGUGGAUGGCCACUGUCUAAAAGUUGCAAUGAUAGUGGAUUAUCAGCAGUGACACGAGAAGCUUACACUGAUAAUGAAGAAGGUGAUAGUUUAAUUGACAUGGACAGUUUCCUAAUCACUUUUACAGUAUCUUAUGGAAUUGUGAUAUUAGGAAUUAUUGGAGUUUUGUACAUAAACCCCUAUUGGCGACGAAGAUGGUUUUACCUUGUUGAAGUAUGUAUGAUCUCUUGCUACUAUUUUGUAGUAGAUAAUCUUAUUCCUAGAAGAUUCUAUGGUGGAUGGAUGUAAUUUCAUUUACUUUACAACUUAUAUGUAAUUUUUAAAGAAUUUUCUUUUGCAUGCAUGGAAUAGCAACUCAAUAAAAGUAUUUGAUGCAAAUUGUCCUAGAACAACUUAGUAAUUUCAUUGCUACUAUUUGGUUGUAUAUAUACAGUUAAUGAAAUUUUUAAUCAUUCGCAGUAGGAAUUUCUUUAGAUGGCGGCCAAAACUAACAGAUUUGGGGCUCUACUUCUACACAUCAUAACAGGCAAAAGGUCUCUCUUUUACACGAUCUGAAUGAAGAUUAACUUACGCCCUCUAGGCUCUGGAGUGUGUGUAAGUUCUCUAUUAAACUUGACGGUUGAGAUUUCAGGUCCAGAUGAAAGUGAAAUGCAGGCGACGAGACUACACUUUAAGUAAACUGGGACAAACUUAAAAUAAAAAAAAUUGUAGUCCAGGGUGAGAGUGAUGGGUAGCUCAACUUAUGGAGGAUAACUAGGACUUGGAAUAACUAUCAGAUUUGCAACUCUUGUUAUAUGCUAGUGGGGAUUUAGGUAGAAAUUUUUUUUUUUUUCCUUUUUGCCCUCUUCCUCACAAUAAAAACACGUAACACACCAAGCCGUGCCCAAAAUAAUCCUAUUUUAUUCAUGUCAUGAAUCCAAAAACUAUCCCAGCUCACUUUGUUUAACCAGCAUAACUAAAUUGUGGUAUAAAUGAACACACUUUCGAAGCCUGUAACUUAUAAUAAGCUCAAACCCAAAAAUGACAUUUAAAUCCUGCAAGUGUUUUUCAUCAUCCCUAACAAAAAGAAACAAGAAUAAUUAUAUACCAAUAAUUUUUCCAUAAAAAAUACUGAUUUUGAGUUGAAACACUAUACAAACUGGGUUUUAUACACUUGCAGAAAGCUACACGGUAGACAAAAUCUAGCAGCUACAUAUUGGUAUCACUUUCAGCUGGUCAUGAAUGGUGUGCAUUCAGCAGUGCUCGAUAGACCAUGUCUAUGAAUUGAUUGUCCUAUUACAUAUAAAAGCUGGUCAGAUAUACAAGGAAAAAAAUAAUAAUUGAAAAUGCAUCACAAAAAAUAAGUGUUUCGCAUUAGUGUUUGCACUCUAAGCAUGGCAAAGUGGUGCGGGGUUCAUGAUUUUGAAGACUGUGAUAAGUGAAAAAUAGUUCAAUCCACUGAUGAACAUAAAUUUAUUUACAUGUCAAUUUAGAUAUCAUCAAAAAGUAAACAGUAAUUCAGAGUCACUUAAAAUAGUUGAUAAAAUGCGUGCCAUGAAUGUAUUUUUGUACAUAAGAAAUCCAAAGAGUAUUUCUGACAAUACAAAUAUGCUAGCUUUAAGUCUGCUGUCAAUAUGCAAUUAAGAAGAUUAUACCAGCUGCAUGAUAAAGUUCCCCUAAUCUUAAUAACAGUAAACAUGAACAUGUCAGAUGCAAUUAUAGCUUUGAGCAUUUGCAUAACCAGAAAUCCUAACCUGAACAAGCACCAGAAGUGUCUCUCGGACUUUCUCCUUGCUGAUAAAUGGUCCGCUGUCUGAAGUAAGAGCAGGAGUAAGAGAUGGUGGAGGGGUUGGUGGUGGAAAAGGUUGAAGCACUGGGGCACCAUAUGGGCGUUGCAGACUCGGGGAGGAUUAAGUGGCGGAGCUGUUGGUGUAGAUGAAGAGACAAGCUGCAUCAUCCGUGCAUAGGAGGAUGGAGGAGGAACAAAGAAUAAGGAAGGCUUUACAAGAUUAGGGGUAGGUGCUGAUAGAGGUGGAGAUGGUAUUUGCAAAGUUGGCACGAUAGGAGAAGCAACACUGGCGGGAUGAGAAGGUAAAGAAAUAGUUGUAUUGGACUGGUAAGGUUGUGCAGAGAUUGCUGCAUUAGAA